GUGAGCAUCUGCAUCAGGUAAGCUUUGGGUAGAGCAGCUCACAGCACCUGCACUUGAACUCAGAUCCUGCCUUUGUGAGCUUGGUCACAUUUCUCAUCUUCCUUAGCCUCUGUUUCCUCACCUGUCAAAUGGGUUUAUAAUCCUUUCUACUUCCAAGGGUAGCUGAGACACUUCCUAAGGAUGUAAAAGCUCUGGGCGUGGCUUAUUUAUUGAUUCUGUGCUGACUGGUCCCCUACUAUGUGCCAGGCACUGUACUGGGAACCAGGAUACAGAUGUGAACAAGACAGGCCCAGCCUGCGGGUGGCAGGGGAGACAUAUAAUGCUCACACAAGUCAGUAAUUACAAAGACAAGAUUUUACAAGCACACAGUAGGUGUGGUCCCUUCAUCAGAGACCUGGACAUGAGCAUCCUUAAAAGAUCCAGCUCUUGGGGGGCCAGUCUCAGCUCCAGAAGGGUCCAAGCCCUAUUCCUACCCCCCUGGCAACAUCUCUAAACCCCAGAGACAACCUCUCAGGAGAUCAGUUGCAGACGUGGUCAGUUGUGUCAAGGGCGGUGUCCACUAGCACAGGCAUGAAUCACGUCCUGCCCGCUCAGAAGAGGUGGGGGAGGGGCCCCCAGACCCAUGUUCGCAAACACUGAUGAGGUGGGGCCGUGCCGAGCGUGUAAGGAGGGGAUGGGAGAAAAUGAGCCUGCGCAGGACAACCCCCCCAUGCUGAUGGAAAUAACACCUCCAACCAGAAAACAAGCAUUCACUCCACGCUUACUACGCUGGUCCGCAGCUAUAAUACAAACCGGAACAGAGAUUAUCUCCUCGAUGCCUCCCAAUUACCCCAUGACUCCACGUAUUAUUAUUUUUCCAACUUGAGAAGGGAGGAAACUGAGGUUUAAGGAGAUUAACUGCCUAGUCCAAGGGCAUUCAUUUCAGCAAUCUCCGCAGCCCAAAAGACUGAACCCUUCUGCUGGCUUGGCAGGAAUGAAGCCAGGGGACAAUCUUAAAAAUACAGAGGGGGUGGGUCCCCAAAGCUGGUCUAAGUGACAGUUGCUGCCUGGGCCAGGUCUCCAGCAGGAUGGGGUAGCUGGUCAAGGGGAGACCAUUGGUCAUGGCUUGUGACUUUGGCUAUGGGUCCUGAGCCUCAGUUUUCUCAGCUGGGCACAAAGGCCUGGCACACCCAUGGAGCCCCAGCCCUUCGCAUUGAUAAGGCGGGAAGACCAGGCAUCUGGCUACAGCAGGAGUUCAAGGCUAGUACAUCUGAAGCUGCCUACCUGCAAGGCCAAGUCACCAUGGAGCCACCGUGAUUGCACCUCCCAAGGCUGAGCAAGGCCAGGGCAAGAGCCAGAGCCUGCUGAGCCAUGCCUGUUGACACCCAGAGGUGACCUGUUCACCCAGGGACCAGGCUAGAGGCAGCGGUUCUGUAGCCCAAAGCCAAUACUAGCAACCAGGGCAGCUGCUGGUGUGCACGCAUGCAUGCAUGCGUGUGUGGUGGGACAGGGCUAUGUUUAAAAGCUCAGACUCUGGAGUUCCCAUUGUGGCUCAGAGAGUUAAGAACCUAACAUAGUGUCCAUCUGAGGAUGCGGGUUUAAACCAUGGCCUUGCUCAGUGGGUUAAGGAUCCGGCAUUGCCACAAGCUGCAGUGUAGGUUGCAGAUGCGGCUUGGAUCUGGCAUUGUUGUGGCUGCGGCUAUGGCUGUGGCUAUGGCUGCAGCUGUAACUCCGAUUUGACUCCUAGUCUGGGAACCUCCAUGUGCUGCAGGUGCAGCCGUGAAAAGAAAAAACAAAAACAAAAAACUCAGACUCUGGAACCAUCCCACCUGGGUUUAUAUCCUGCCUCGGCCACUUCUAGCCUGUUUGAUCCUGGGCAAAUUCCAACACCUCUCCAAGCCUCGGCUUCCUCAUAUGUAAUGUAGAGACAAUGAGAGUACCUCUCAGAGGCUGGCUCUAAGAAUUACAGAAGUAAAUACGUGAAAAGCACUGGUACGUAUUAAGUAUUCAAGAAAGAGCAGCCCUUAGCAUUAUCAUGGCGACAGCAAUGUCUGUGGAUCUCCAUGGUAACCACGAUCGUCAGCAGGUCCACAUGUGUGGAGUAUGUCAAUGGAGGAACUAGGUGGGCUGUCAUAUAUCUGUAGGGGUCAUUUUCAUCUUUGCCUGGUGCUUUGGGAGCUAAAAUAAAAAUUUGUCCCCUACCCUCAUCAUAAAACCUAUUCAACCCUCCACUCAACCAGUUAAGACAAAAAUGAAGCCAAGGCCUCACUUUCACAACUCAGGAAGGAAAAUCUAGGGGGCAUGAAACUAACAGUCCCCCUGACCCUUCCAGAGACAGCAACACCCCUGCCCUCAGGCGGCUCACAGUCACGGGUGAGGGGAGCCGGGCAGAACUCAAAGAGAAACCCAAGGAAGGUUUCAAUACCAACUGUGAUGAAUGUAAAGGGGGUACACCAGGAAGGUACCACAGAGAGAGAGGCAGCGGAACAGCCUGUGCAAAGGUCCUGAGGCUGGAGACUCUUUCAGGGAACCAAAAGUGCAGUGCACCCCAGGGCCAGAGAACACUGGCUACUCUAGUUAUUUUCGUUUUACUCAAAAGAACAUUGAGUGUCCCCAAAAGCCAGGUCUCAGAAGGUGGAGGCAUGGGAGACUCAGUCAUCUCUAAAGGCACAAGAGCCAGGGCAGAGACCACCAGGUACAUGCAGGCCAAAGGCUGUCACCUCUCUCACCUUCGAUGACACCUGGCCCAUCUGAGACUAACUUCACAAAUGGGGAAAAGCUUGAAGAGGUGAGGCAACUUACCCAGGUUCACACACGAAUCCCAUGCCAGUGCCACCCCUGACUUUCCUGGAGAAAUCCAUCCCUGACAUCCAGCAGAUCCUAUUUUCCAUACAGCCAGCACAGGACUUGCCAGAUGACUGGCAUAGGCUAAAUUUUCAAUGAAUGAAAGAGUAAGCGCCAUGUCUAACCUUGCACCUAGCUUGGGUGGCCAAUACUCAUAACCACGGGCCCCAUGAAACCUGUUGAUUGCUUCCACCACCGGGCAGUAUGAGUCUUCCUUAAACACAGAACAUCCAAGACCUCUUCAAGGCUGGAAUAGGGCUGAGUGCAUGGUCAAGGCUUGCCCUGGGGACAGAAACUCCUGUAAACAGUAAUCCAUUAACAGACAACCCUCCAGCUACAGCAGAAGAGGAAAAACACUUGCUGGGAAGCAGGGAUCCUAAGUCACUCCUUUCCUUGUGCUCCAAAGACUAAGAACCUCACGGGGCCUUCAGUGAUAAUAAUCACACCAGUAAGAAUGACAAUAGCAGCAAACACAGGUACAUUCAGUAGCAGGCACUACGUAUUAACUCAUUUAAUGCUCAUCCAUCUCAGGAUGCAGGCACCGUUAUUACACCCACUUGACAGAGGAGCAAACUGAGGCACAGAGAGGGUUAACUGCCUUGCCCAGGGUCACACGGCUGGAAAGUGGUAGAGCCGGGGUCUUAACCCAGGCAGUCUGGAUCCAGAGCUGCUGCAAUACACCCAAGGGAUGUUGGGAAUAUUUAAUUCUGCAACCAAUUCUGCACAACUGACAUGCAAUUUUGCAGACUUCCUCACUCCACUUCAAUCAGGAACUCCCCCACUCCAGCUCCACAGUCAAAGGACCAUUUAUUUAUCAUCUACUUGGUGCCAAGUGUUUCACAGUCCUUCUUGCUUAUGGAUACAAGCACCCUGUGUCGUGUCUGUUUUACAAAUGGGAGAACUGAGGUUCAGAGAGAUGGUGGGAUUAGUUGAGGGUCAUGUGGCCCAUAAGGGGCAGAGCUGGGAUUUGAACCCAUAUCUGUC
This 3807-nucleotide long non-coding RNA is filed under the name Sus scrofa (pig). RNAcentral describes it as "lncRNA (ENSSSCG00005045605.1)". Lineage: Eukaryota; Metazoa; Chordata; Mammalia; Artiodactyla; Suidae. The record is from RNAcentral.